UAGGUGGCAAGCGUUAUCCGGAUUUAUUGGGUGUAAAGGGCGUGUAGGCGGGAAUGCAAGUCAGAUGUGAAAACUAUGGGCUCAACCCUGAACCUGCAUUUGAAACUGUAGAUCUUGAGUGAUGGAGAGGCAGGCGGAAUUCCGUGUGUAGCGGUGAAAUGCGUAGAUAUACGGAGGAACACCAGUGGCGAAGGCGGCCUGCUGGACAUUAACUGACGCUGAGGCGCGAAAGCGUGGGGAGCAAA
This 245-nucleotide ribosomal RNA is filed under the name uncultured bacterium. Its description in RNAcentral is "partial 16S ribosomal RNA". It matches the Rfam family "Bacterial small subunit ribosomal RNA", at positions 528 to 772 of the family's 1533-position model. The record is from RNAcentral.